RNAcentral lists this transfer RNA (72 nucleotides) under Loxodonta africana (African savanna elephant). It matches the Rfam family "tRNA". From Rfam's summary of the family: Transfer RNA (tRNA) molecules are approximately 80 nucleotides in length. Their secondary structure includes four short double-helical elements and three loops (D, anti-codon, and T loops). The record is from Rfam by way of RNAcentral. Lineage: Eukaryota; Metazoa; Chordata; Mammalia; Proboscidea; Elephantidae.
GCAGUGGUGGUUUCAGUGCUAGAAUUCUCUCCUUGCAUGUGAAAAACCUGGGUUCGAUUCCCAGUCAGUGCA